UGCCCUGGACUGGGCGAAGUGGGAGUGCUGGGUUCUGAUGAUGGUGAGUGGUCUUGGUUCCUGUUAGUAGGAUUCCUAUGUUUACCUUUCGCCAUCUGGUAAUCUCUGGAGUUAGUAGUUAUAGUUGACUCUGUUUAGAGAUUGUUCUUCUGGUGAUUCUGUUACCUUCUCUCAGCAGACCUGGGAGACAGAUUCUCUCCUCUGAGUCUCAGUGCUCAGAGCACUCUCUGCUGGCAAGCUCUCUUACAGGGAAGGUGAGCAGAUAUCUUGUUUUUGGACCUCCUCCUGGUCGAAGAAGAAGGCCCAAACAGGGCCUCUCUCAGAAGCUGUGUUGCUUUGGCAGUUCCCAGAAGCUGUCAGCUUCUGUGGUGCAGACUCUCACCUGUGCAGACUAAAUUCCUAAGUUCCAGGGAGUCCUGGAACCAAGAUGGUGACCGCUGCUCCUGAGGCUGAGGCCGCCUACCGACCCAGGAGGACACCUGUCCUCUGGUCCGGAUGGUGGCCGGCUGUCUGCAGCCUGCAAAGGGUAUGCCUCAGCGGCUCUGUGCUUCUGCCUGUCCCAGAAGCUGUCCGGUUCUCUGGCGUAUCCUCUAACCUGUUCAGACUAAUUUCCUAGGUCCCGCGGAGUCCUGGAACCCAAAUGGCGACCGCUGCUGCUGAGGCUGAGGCUGCCUCCCAAGCCAGGCAGACACCUGUCCUCUGGUCCGGACGGUGGCCGGCUGUCUGUGGCCCGCCAAGGGUGCUGCCUCAGCGGCUCUGUGCUUCUGCCUGUCCCAGAAGCUGUCCGGUUCUCUGGCGCACCCUCUAACCUGUUCAGACUAAUUUCCUAAGUUCUGCUGAGUCCUGGAACCUAAAGUUAUUUUUAAAACAAAACACCUUUUUUGUUGUUUGAAAAGGAAAGAAAAACAAUAAAAAGUAAAUGAUCAGACUUUGAGGUUCUGAAACAAACAAACCAACAAACAAGAAGACAAGAUAAUUGCUUCUACAUGGAGGCUGAUGUCACUUUGAAAUGAGGUGAACAGAAUUCUGUGGCCCAGACAAUGCCUGAUGUUCUACUGCAACCUCGUAUGUUUUAAAAUUCAAAAUUUGGAGCUAGAGAGGUCGCUCAGUGAUAAAGUACUGACAGCUCUUCUGGAGGACCAAGAUUCAACUCAUUGCACCAGUGUGGAAACUUAGAACUGUUUCUAAGGUGAUUUCCAUAAAAGGGUCGUUUGCCCCACCCCCAAGGGGUCUCAACCCACAGGCUGAGAACCACUGAUCCAGUGUUUUGUCUAUGAAAAAGUACACAAAAGCAAAGAAGGUGAAUCUUCAUUGUUAAAUAUUCAUGAACAGCAGUGCAAGAAUUUCUCCCAGCAAGAUUUUGCGGAAAGGACCUGAUAUAGCUGUCUCUUGUGAGGCUAUGCCAGUGACUGGCAAAUACAGAAGUGGAUAAUCACAGUCAUCUAUAGGAUGGAACACAGGGUGCCCAGUGGAUGAGCAAGAGAAAGUACCCAAAGCUGAAGGGGUCUGUAACCCUAUAGGAGGAACAACAAUAUGAACUAACCAGUAUCCCCAGCGCUUGUGUCUCUAGCUGCAUAUGUAGCAGAAGGUGGCCUAGUCAGCCAUCAUUGGGAAGAGAGGCCCCUAGGUCUUGCAAACUUUAUAUGCCCCAGUACAGGGGAAAGCCAGGGCCAAGAAGCAGGAGUGGG
This 1688-nucleotide long non-coding RNA is filed under the name Mus musculus (house mouse). RNAcentral describes it as "predicted gene, 48613". Lineage: Eukaryota; Metazoa; Chordata; Mammalia; Rodentia; Muridae. The record is from RNAcentral.